Non-coding RNA from Camellia sinensis, 185 nucleotides. NCBI's taxonomy places the organism in Eukaryota, Viridiplantae, Streptophyta, Magnoliopsida, Ericales, Theaceae. The record is from RefSeq and is a predicted model, not a curated record.
GAUGGGGGGAUUGUUCUGCAUAUAAAAGUACUCUUGAUUGUUUCAUCAAGACUUUGAAGAACGAUGCUAAGAAGUUUGUUAGAAGUAUAUAGUCACCUUGAGUUUAGAGGAUAGACAGUGACGCCAGCCGUGAAGACAUUUUGGAUGGUGAUUGCUUCCAUAACCGAUGAAUGUUUAGAGAAAAA